AGGACGAACGCUGGCGGCGUGCUUAACACAUGCAAGUCGAGGGCACUUUGGGGGCAACUCUGGAAUGACCGGCGAACGGGUGCGUAACACGUGAGCGACCUUGCCUCGUGGUGGGGGAUAGCCGGCCCAACGGCCGGGUAAUACCGCAUAGGGUGGUCUUUUCGCAUGGAGAGACUAGCAAAGCCCUGGAGCAAUCCAGUGGCGCCACGAGGGGGGGCUCGCGGCCUAUCAGCUAGUUGGGGGGGUAAUGGCCCACCAAGGCGACAACGGGUAGC
Molecule: ribosomal RNA, 275 nt
Filed under: uncultured bacterium
Lineage: Bacteria
Description: partial small subunit ribosomal RNA
Rfam family: Bacterial small subunit ribosomal RNA
Source: RNAcentral